Molecule: ribosomal RNA, 500 nt
Filed under: uncultured bacterium
Lineage: Bacteria
Description: partial 16S ribosomal RNA
Rfam family: Bacterial small subunit ribosomal RNA
Source: RNAcentral
AUUGAACGCUGGCGGCAUGCCUUACACAUGCAAGUCGAACGGCAGCAUGGGAGCAAUCCUGGUGGCGAGUGGCGAACGGGUGAGUAAUAUAUCGGAACGUGCCCAGUCGUGGGGGAUAACGUAGCGAAAGCUACGCUAAUACCGCAUACGAUCCAUGGAUGAAAGCGGGGGAUCGCAAGACCUCGCGCGAUUGGAGCGGCCGAUAUCAGAUUAGCUAGUUGGUGGGGUAAAAGCCCACCAAGGCGACGAUCUGUAGCUGGUCUGAGAGGACGACCAGCCACACUGGAACUGAGACACGGUCCAGACUCCUACGGGAGGCAGCAGUGGGGAAUUUUGGACAAUGGGCGAAAGCCUGAUCCAGCAAUGCCGCGUGCAGGACGAAGGCCUUCGGGUUGUAAACUGCUUUUGUACGGAGCGAAACGGUCCUCUCUAAUACAGGGGGCUAAUGACGGUACCGUAAGAAUAAGCACCGGCUAACUACGUGCCAGCCGCCGCAGUAA